GUAGGUGGCAAGCGUUGUCCGGAAUUAUUGGGCGUAAAGCGCGCGCAGGUGGUUCUUUAAGUCUGAUGUGAAAGCCCCCGGCUCAACCGGGGAGGGUCAUUGGAAACUGGGGAACUUGAGUGCAGGAGAGGAAAGUGGAAUUCCACGUGUAGCGGUGAAAUGCGUAGAUAUGUGGAGGAACACCAGUGGCGAAGGCGACUUUCCGGCCUGUAACUGACACUGAGGCGCGAAAGCGUGGGGAGCAAACAGGAUUAGAUACCCUGGUAGUCCACGCCGCAAACGAUGAGUGCUAAGUGUUGGGGGGGUUUCCCGCCCCUCAGUGCUGCAGCUAACGCAUUAAGCACUCCGCCUGGGGAGUACGGUCGCAAGACUG
Molecule: ribosomal RNA, 373 nt
Filed under: uncultured organism
Description: partial 16S ribosomal RNA
Rfam family: Bacterial small subunit ribosomal RNA
Source: RNAcentral